UUACGGCCAUAUCACAUUGAAACACCGGUUCUUCUCGGACGAUCACCGAAGUUAAGCAACGUCGAGCCUGGUCAUUACGUAGAUGGGUGACCGCUUGGGAAUACCAGGUGAUGUAAG
Non-coding RNA from Acanthosepion pharaonis, 117 nucleotides. Lineage: Eukaryota; Metazoa; Mollusca; Cephalopoda; Sepiida; Sepiidae. The record is from the annotation of a GenBank genome assembly.